Molecule: transfer RNA, 52 nt
Filed under: Aristida adscensionis
Lineage: Eukaryota; Viridiplantae; Streptophyta; Magnoliopsida; Poales; Poaceae
Description: partial tRNA-Leu
Source: RNAcentral
AAAAUCCGUCGACUUUAUAAGUCGKGAGGGUUCAAGUCCCUCUAUCCCCAAA